Phascolarctos cinereus (koala) is the source of this 308-nucleotide non-coding RNA. The record is from RefSeq and is a predicted model, not a curated record. Lineage: Eukaryota; Metazoa; Chordata; Mammalia; Diprotodontia; Phascolarctidae.
CGACACACCAAUGUACAGAGAGAGAACAGAAACCAGAGCGAUGCUUCCACCAGCUGGCACUACAAAAACCAAGCUUUUCUCAUAGGAGAUGCUCAAAUAUGGAAACGGGGAUGAACAAUGGAUACAGGAAAGGAAUAUGGGAUCCAAUUCAUUCCUUGGAGAAACAGUCCAAGUCUGCCUUGUUCUCACAAUAUAAAGAAAAUGAAGCCCAAAGAAGCAAAAUGACUGGCCCAAGUUUACACAGGCAGUGUCAGCCCCAGAAUCCAAACUAAGGUCUUCCAACUCCAAAUUCAGCAUUCUUUCCAUUG